UACGAAGGGGGCAAGCGUUGUUCGGAAUUACUGGGCGUAAAGCGUGCGCAGGCGGUUAUGUAAGACAGAUGUGAAAUGCCCGGGCUUAACCUGGGAGCUGCAUUUGUGACUGCAUGGCUAGAGUUUGGCAGAGGGGGGUAGAAUUCCACGUGUAGCAGUGAAAUGCGUAGAUAUGUGGAGGAACACCGAUGGCGAAGGCAGCCCCCUGGGUCAAGACUGACGCUCAUGCACGAAAGCGUGGGGAGCAAACAGG
Molecule: ribosomal RNA, 253 nt
Filed under: uncultured bacterium
Lineage: Bacteria
Description: partial 16S ribosomal RNA
Rfam family: Bacterial small subunit ribosomal RNA
Source: RNAcentral